CCUUUCUUCAUUUCUUUCGGGAAGUGUUUCGGUCAGGUGGGCCAGUUGUCCAAUCACCUUGUGGCGUCACGUGGUGACGCGACCAAUCGGUGCACACUUGACACGGAAGUAGUUCGGCUUCGAGUUUUGCAUCACUUGAUGACCGCGAUUGUCUUUUCCACUUGUUGAAUUCCCAUCGACCUUUCAAACAUGCUCGCCGUGCGGACUUGGAGGAAGGAGCCCGACGCGUGCGCCGUGACGUCAUUCACGUCGUCGCUGUGAGGGGAAACGUUUGUGUGCGUGUUCGUGCGAAAGCAGCUGGUUCCGAUUGAGCUGCCGUUUGGAAACGACGACGCCAAGUGCAACGUGACUGAGAUCGCAGUGCCUUGAAAUGAGACCUGCUUUUCAACUUGAUGGCGAUUGGCCAGCUCGAGGAAGCAGCACUCCGCCCCCCCAGACGAAAACUUCUCAGGGAUGCCACUCCUCCUCCCCUGGCACGGCGUGCUGAAGAUCGCCCUCUUCCUCCUUAACAAAGGCAUGCAGCUCCUGCACCGAAGUGAAGCCCCCCACAAUCAGCCGC
Hippocampus comes (tiger tail seahorse) is the source of this 559-nucleotide long non-coding RNA. RefSeq lists it as uncharacterized. The record is from RefSeq and is a predicted model, not a curated record. The transcript is spliced from 3 exons. Lineage: Eukaryota; Metazoa; Chordata; Actinopteri; Syngnathiformes; Syngnathidae.